Molecule: long non-coding RNA, 686 nt
Filed under: Fukomys damarensis (Damara mole-rat)
Lineage: Eukaryota; Metazoa; Chordata; Mammalia; Rodentia; Bathyergidae
Description: lncRNA (ENSFDAG00000022139.1)
Source: RNAcentral
GCAGCUGAAAAAAACCCCCUCUGGGGUCCUUGGGUCCUUCCUGGGUCUGUUGUCGCGCAGGCCGGGAGCUCACGCGCAGGCCGGGAGCUCACGCGCACGCCGCCGGGUGAUCGCAGACAGGCAGAUCCACAUAUUAGAAAAAAAGGAGCACAAAUUUCCCUGAAGCCAUGUGUUUAUCUUCCAACCUGAUCUGAUGUGCUUCAGAGACAACAAGGCCAAACAAGAGCACUGCCGAGGAGCCACAGAGACAGACCCUCAUGUCACUAACGUCACUAGCGGUUGAGGCCUCUCCCUGCUAAACCGUGGCAGUGGUGUGUUUUCAGGAAUUCAGGUGAAUAAAGGCGAAUGCCUGGGAAUAUAGCAGUUUGAGCCCCGUGUCUGGACCUCACGAGAUAAAGCCCAGGACCCGGCCAAGAGCUGUUUCAAGGGCAGACAUCCUCCUGUGUCAGCCUGUACUGAGGGCCCGCUGCAGACUCAGGCUGAAUGUCUUAUUCUCAGUGUCUUUCUGGAUUCGAGGGGCCCAUUGAGUAGCACCUGUGAGGUCAAGGGCAUGAAGCCUGGAGUAGGGGGUGUCACCCCUACAACAAGUCAUUCACCAAAUACUCCCACUGUAACCUGAAAUCUCUCCUGUGUCUGUUCUUCAGCUUCAUUCUCGCUGCCACUAUGCUAGUUCAGGUACUUUCCAA